CACUAGAAGACAGUGGAAGGAAAUAAACAAACUACCAAGACUACAAAAACCCAAACUAGAUGAAAAAGUAAACAAACAAAAAACCUAACACAAAGUCCAAAAUGUCGCACCCCAACAUUCACUCCUAAAAUGUUUCUGACGUUGGAUUUCUCAGGAAUCCCAUUGCAUUUUUUUUGUGGAGACCUAAUUAUAUGAUUCAAAAGCAAAGGCGCUGACCGGAUUGGUGUGGAUGUACGUUCCUAAAGUUUUGGCUUCUAUGUGACUUCAUGCCUGUCUCUGAUUGGUUAUUAAAAGAUUCUCCUCCGGGCACAGCUCUCUGUGCCAAUGGUGAAUCAGGGUUUUUUGUGUCAUUCUUGAUCUAAUCUGAUUAAGUCAUGAUACCUGUCAAACAAAGUCACAUCCCUGGCAGCAUAGACAAGCGGGCAUGAAUGUCAUUCAAACAUGUGGAUGCAAACGGAAGAGUCAGACAGGAAGAACAAGACAGGAGGCAAUGUCAGCAGUGAAAGUUCGGUCAUUUAUUUGCAAAAUAAUAACAGACCGUUUUCCAUUUCUUGUGGAAAGCUCCGGGCUUUUGAAAGCUCAGGGCGUGUUUGGUGCAAAUUUACCCGAGUAAUUACACUUUCCAGGAGCCUUACUUUCACAGGUAAAAGAUCCUGGUCUGAAGUACUGUAGGUCUUUCCAGAUUUCCUUGGGUACGUUAAAAGGGCAGGUUUGCCAGCAGCAAGACAUUGCACCACCAGCUGCAGUAAUGGCGGAAGUGAUUCAGACAGCUCAGCAGAAGGAGGGACAAGGUUUGGAUGCAGUUUCCCUGAAGCUCCCAAAUGAUCUUCUUCACCUUUGUGUUCUGCUAUCGUCUGCUCCACUGUCUACGCAUCUUCUACGUCAUAUAAAUAUUUGCUUAUGAUUAGACAGUCAAGAUAUCAAUUCCCUGUACUUCUGGUCUGAUUAUCUAUUUUUUUUUCUAAUAAAUAAAAUUUAUUUUUUUA
Molecule: long non-coding RNA, 986 nt
Organism: Girardinichthys multiradiatus
Lineage: Eukaryota; Metazoa; Chordata; Actinopteri; Cyprinodontiformes; Goodeidae
Exons: 2
Source: RefSeq, a predicted model, not a curated record